This 253-nucleotide ribosomal RNA is filed under the name uncultured bacterium. RNAcentral's name for it is "partial 16S ribosomal RNA". It matches the Rfam family "Bacterial small subunit ribosomal RNA", at positions 524 to 776 of the family's 1533-position model. The record is from RNAcentral.
UACGUAGGGGGCGAGCGUUGUCCGGAUUUAUUGGGCGUAAAGAGCGUGUAGGCGGCUUGGUAGGUCUGCUGUGAAAACUCGGGGCUCAACCCCGAGACGUCGGUGGAAACCACCUGGCUAGAGUCCGGAAGAGGAGACUGGAAUUCCUGGUGUAGCGGUGAAAUGCGCAGAUAUCAGGAGGAACACCGGUGGCGAAGGCGGGUCUCUGGGCCGAUACUGACGCUGAGGAGCGAAAGCGUGGGGAGCGAACAGG